UACGUAGGGGGCAAGCGUUGCUCGGAAUCACUGGGCGUAAAGCGCACGUAGGCGGAUUGUUAAGUCAGGGGUGAAAUCCUGGAGCUCAACUCCAGAACUGCCUUUGAUACUGGCGAUCUUGAGUUCGGGAGAGGUGAGUGGAACUGCGAGUGUAGAGGUGAAAUUCGUAGAUAUUCGCAAGAACACCAGUGGCGAAGGCGGCUCACUGGCCCGAUACUGACGCUGAGGCACGAAAGCGUGGGGAGCAAACAGG
This 253-nucleotide ribosomal RNA is filed under the name uncultured bacterium. Its description in RNAcentral is "partial 16S ribosomal RNA". It matches the Rfam family "Bacterial small subunit ribosomal RNA", at positions 524 to 776 of the family's 1533-position model. The record is from RNAcentral.